GUCUGCUUCAAGUGUUAAAUCUUGCACAUGAAUCACAAACACAUGGAAAAGGUCAAGUCAGUCGAAAUUCUGCUAUGUUGUCAUUCACAGGUUCUUCGUCAAGUAGUGAGAAUAGCCAAACUAGUGACCUUCCAGAAAUACAACAAGCCACACUGAAGUACAAGAUGGUGAUAAGUGGAAAAACCUUUAAUGCCCAUCAACAGAUACUGGAAAAAGUAAAGGCUUUAAAUGAGGAUCCAGAUUUGAAUUUGAUCGAACAGGAAGACAGCAAUCAGGAUUGCCAGGCCAUUAUUGUCUUCUGUCCCAUUGUUUCACGUAUGGGGACAGAUAUUGAUGCAGCCAUGACGCAAGUCAAAGGUUCUCAGCCUGUCAUUCUGGUUUUGAUGCAUCACGCACAUGAACCCAAGCAUGUAACUUUAAUGAAAAUACAGAAUAAUGUUUCUAAUGUUGUGUUACCUUUCCAUGUUUUCUACCAUGAGACAGUGCAUGGAUUGUUGCAGUGUCAGCAAAAUAACGAUGCCAUUUCUGAAAUUCGAAAGGCAUUACUGAAGCACGCAGAUAUCCAGACAAUUAAAGAUACAAGUGGAAAGACACAGAAUGUAGCUGCUAAAAGUAGUAAUCGUGGUGGGAGUUUUAUUUUUCGUUUUUGGUAAAUAAUGAUAGUGUAAAUUCAGAUAUUACAAGUCAAAGAAACUGUAUAUAUAUCCCAUGCAUUACUCUUUUGUAAUCUAAUUUUUUUUGCGCUGUAUCACUUCAGUAGUGUAGAUUGCUCUGACCAUUUGAGUAGGAAGCGAAAAUUUUAUGGUUUUGAUCAUGCAAAAUAAUUAUUUUGUACAUUGUGAAACAAAAGGACAGCACAGAAUCGUCUUUGUGACCUUUAUUUCAGUACUUUAAGAUAUUUCAGCUGUAAGGGUAGUUGCAGAGUCAACAGGUGUGAUCAUGAAGUGUCAAAGAAGAGGUCAGAGACACAGUAUAUGGGUGUAGAUAGUCAUAAAACUACUUUCAACUGUACCAACUGCUGUUUAUCUCUAAAAACAAAAGUGACAGCUACAGCUGUAUGUACACAGUGACAUCGUAAGUCCUUUGAUCAUUAAGAUAAAUAAUAAAUAUAUUUAUAUCAAAGUCAAACAUAUUGUGAUUAGUUUCACGGUUGCUAUGUAAAUCUGCAAGUUAUUUUCAUCUUUCAGAAAAA
Molecule: long non-coding RNA, 1192 nt
Organism: Astatotilapia calliptera (eastern happy)
Lineage: Eukaryota; Metazoa; Chordata; Actinopteri; Cichliformes; Cichlidae
Source: Ensembl